AGCCAGUUGGAUUAGCGGUUGAAAUCGUCGGGCCCAUGACCUGAAGAGCGGAGGUUCGAAUCCUUCACUGGCUU
This is a transfer RNA of 74 nucleotides. It matches the Rfam family "tRNA". Rfam says of the family: Transfer RNA (tRNA) molecules are approximately 80 nucleotides in length. Their secondary structure includes four short double-helical elements and three loops (D, anti-codon, and T loops). The record is from Rfam.